Molecule: ribosomal RNA, 680 nt
Filed under: uncultured Planctomycetales bacterium
Lineage: Bacteria; Pseudomonadati; Planctomycetota; Planctomycetia; Planctomycetales
Description: bacterial SSU rRNA
Rfam family: Bacterial small subunit ribosomal RNA
Source: RNAcentral
UGUGCGCAUUCGAUUAGAGUUUGAUCCUGGCUCAGAAUGAACGUUGGCGGCGUGGAUUAGGCAUGCAAGUCGUACGGGCCGCAAGGCCAGUGGCGUAAGGGUGAGUAAGGCGACGGUAACCAACCCCAUGAUUGGGUAUAGCCGUGGGAAACUGCGGGUAAUCCCCAGCGACGUCUCCGGGGGGCAUCUCCUGGAGACCAAAGCUCCGGCGUCGUGGGACGGGCUGUCGUGGUAUUAGGUAGUUGGCGGGGUAACGGCCCACCAAGCCUUUGAUGCCUACCGGGCGUGCGAGCGUGGCCCGGCACACUGGGACUGAGACACUGCCCAGACUCCUACGGGAGGCUGCAGUCGAGAAUCUUCGGCAAUGGGCGCAAGCCUGACCGAGCGACGCCGCGUGGAGGACGAAGGCCUUCGGGUUGUAAACUCCUGUCGAGGGGGAAGAUGCACCGCAAGGGGCUUGACUGAUCCCUGGAGGAAGCACGGGCUAAGUUCGUGCCAGCAGCCGCGGUAAGACGAACCGUGCGAACGUUAUUCGGAUCACUGGGCUUAAAGCGCGUGUAGUGGGACGGCACGUCGGUCGCUGAAAGCUCUGCUCACCGGGAAGUGCGCCGAUACGACCGGCUGGAGGACGUAGGGGACUGGAACUCCGUGAGCGGUGAAUGCGUGAGAUCGGAAGGACG